This 496-nucleotide ribosomal RNA is filed under the name uncultured bacterium. RNAcentral describes it as "bacterial SSU rRNA". It matches the Rfam family "Bacterial small subunit ribosomal RNA", at positions 48 to 524 of the family's 1533-position model. The record is from RNAcentral.
CCUACACAUGCAAGUAGAAGGGUGAGUUACUUUAGCUUGCUAGAGUAAUGAAGAGUUGCGAACGGGUGAGUAACGCGUAGGUAACCUACCUCUUAGCGGGGGAUAACUAUUGGAAACGAUAGCUAAUACCGCAUAACAGUUUUAGUCGCAUGACUAAGAUUUGAAAGGCGCAACUGCGUCACUAAGAGAUGGACCUGCGUUGUAUUAGCUAGUUGGUGAGGUAACGGCUCACCGAGGCCUCGAUACAUAGCCGACCUGAGAGGGUGAUCGGCCACACUGGGACUGAGACACGGCCCAUACUCCUACGGGAGGCAGCAGUAGGGAAUCUUCGGCAAUGGACGAAAGUCUGACCGAGCAACGCCGCGUGAGUGAAGAAGGUUUUCGGAUCGUAAAGCUCUGUUGUAAGAGAAGAAUGUUAGUGGGAGUGGAAAAUCCACUAAGUGACGGUAUCUUACCAGAAAGGGACGGCUAACUACGUGCCAGCAGCCGCGGUAAU